CUACCUAGUCUGCAGCCACCCAGGACAAGUCUUUCCAGUAGAAGGACCUAGAAGGGGACAGGAAAUUCUUCCUGACUGUUAAGAUACUUUAACCCACUAGACACUGCCACAACUGAGAGAUCCUUGGGGCAUCUGACAUACAGCUAGCAGAAGGUCUGUGAUAAUGUGCAUAGGAGAUAAUGGACCUCUUGGAAACCAAAGCCACAAAACUGGACCUAAGAACCAUUUCUUGAAAUGCAAAAUUUAGAAGUUUUUCAUCAGGGGAAAAAAAACGGUAUUGGAAAAUGGAGCCUGCAAUGUCAUCUCCACAAAUUAAAACAAAAGCUCUAAGAUUUUGUUAGCGUUGUGCCCGUGUAUUUGUAUGUGUGUCCAUGUACAUACAUUGUAAGUGUGAUUUUUCUCUACCUCCAGAUGGUGUUGCUAAAAUUAAUUUGGAAAAGAGUUUUAUUUAGUUGGCUUGAGGGCAAGGUUACUUGUGAAGUUUGGGUAUUCUAAAAUUCAGAAAGAUGAAAACAACCUAAAUGUUUUUCAAGUUCAUGUGAUCUGAGAACUCAGCACUAAAGCUAAUUGAAGGUUGUGGGUUUAAUUAAAAUAGACAUGUUUUAGGGUUAUCAGCAUUAAAUAUAAAACUUAUUCAGCAUAUGUUUACAGAAAGUCAAACAAGUUCAGGUUAUCUCUGUUGUAAAAUUUGUCAGGAAAAAACUUAGAAUGUUAAACUUAAUGUCCAAUAGGUUUGUGGGUAGUGUAAACAUCAUUAAGAACAAACAAAUAAAACAAAAAGGUUC
This is a long non-coding RNA of Felis catus (domestic cat), 785 nucleotides long. RefSeq lists it as uncharacterized. The record is from RefSeq and is a predicted model, not a curated record. The transcript has 4 exons. NCBI's taxonomy places the organism in Eukaryota, Metazoa, Chordata, Mammalia, Carnivora, Felidae.